Molecule: long non-coding RNA, 477 nt
Filed under: Homo sapiens (human)
Lineage: Eukaryota; Metazoa; Chordata; Mammalia; Primates; Hominidae
Description: HSALNT0154235
Source: RNAcentral
AUCACACAUAGGUAUAUUUAGACAGAAAGGGGUCCUCAUCACAGACACCCAAAUUAUGAGCACAUUACUGCCUCCUCUCCCCUAGAGGUGCUUCUUCCAGCCUCCCCCAUUGGAGGCCAGCACAAGACGGGCUCUCCAACCCAAUAUCUUCCCCUUCCCUCCUUCCUUUCUGCUCAGGUGGCUGAGUAUACACAUUGAACUCUUUUGUUUCAACUUCACGUGUAUAUAGGUUGGUGCAAAAGUAACUGUGGUGUUUUCCAUUAAAAGCAAUGUCAAGAACCGCAAUUACUUUGGCACCAACCUAAUAUGUAUGCAAGUACAUUCUUUAACCUUUCCAACUCCCAGUCCAAGCCAUCAGGCUAAUUUCCGCGUGGAAUUUGUGGUCACUGGUUUGCAGUCCUUUCAUUUCUGGUGUGGUCAGAAGUCUCCUUCAGACUCUUCCCGAUAAGUUGCCAUUGGCUUUUUCAUCACCUUUAG